GACGAACGCUGGCGGCGUGCUUAACACAUGCAAGUCGAGCGGUAAGGCCCUUUCGGGGGUACGACGAGCGGCGAACGGGUGAGUAACACGUGGGUGACCUGCCCUCAGCUCUGGGAUAAGCCUGGGAAACCGGGUCUAAUACUGGAUAUGACUCCAUGACGCAUGUUGUGGGGUGGAAAGCCUUGUGCGGCUGAGGAUGGGCCCGCGGCCUAUCAGCUUGUUGGUGGGGUGAUGGCCUACCAAGGCGACGACGGGGUAGCCGGCCUGAGAGGGCGACCGGCCACACUGGGGACUGAGACACGGCCCAGACUCCUACGGGAGGCAGCAGUGGGGAACCUUGCGCAAUGGGCGAAAGCCUGAACGCAGCGACGCCGCGUGAGGGAUGACGGCCUGGUGUAAC
RNAcentral lists this ribosomal RNA (400 nucleotides) under uncultured bacterium. RNAcentral's name for it is "bacterial SSU rRNA". It matches the Rfam family "Bacterial small subunit ribosomal RNA", at positions 28 to 429 of the family's 1533-position model. The record is from RNAcentral.